Molecule: ribosomal RNA, 253 nt
Filed under: uncultured bacterium
Lineage: Bacteria
Description: partial 16S ribosomal RNA
Rfam family: Bacterial small subunit ribosomal RNA
Source: RNAcentral
UACGUAGGGGGCAAGCGUUGUCCGGAAUCAUUGGGCGUAAAGAGCGUGUAGGCGGCUCGGUAAGUCCGCUGUGAAAGUCCAGGGCUCAACCCUGGAAUGCCGGUGGAAACUGUCGAGCUAGAGUCCGGAAGAGGCGAGUGGAAUUCCUGGUGUAGCGGUGAAAUGCGCAGAUAUCAGGAGGAACACCAAUGGCGAAGGCAGCUCGCUGGGACGGUACUGACACUGAGGAGCGAAAGCGUGGGUAGCAAACAGG